ACAUUCGGCUUGCGUUCGCGAGACAGGCUACAGUAAAUUUUUGGAGGCUGUGUUUCGAUCUUGUCCUACUAAUUUAUUUUCUGUUUCUGCGCGUGUAAAAGCCACAAACCAUAAAGCCGACACAAGACAAAGCUAUAGUCACAAGCUAAACAGAACGAGCAAAGUUGUAAUAUAAGAAGAUAUUUCGGAGAUUCCUGCAUGGUCCAGAGCCAGACAAAGAAGGAGUCUCCCCCAAAUCGGGCUGGCAAUUGCCUUGCAGCAAAGCCAUCAACAAAACAAGACAAGACAAGACUAGA
Anthonomus grandis grandis is the source of this 296-nucleotide long non-coding RNA. RefSeq lists it as uncharacterized. Lineage: Eukaryota; Metazoa; Arthropoda; Insecta; Coleoptera; Curculionidae. The transcript has 2 exons. The record is from RefSeq and is a predicted model, not a curated record.